UGGGUUAAUUAUUAAUUGGUAUUAAUAUUAGAACUCCAAAUUCUAAUUAUGCAGUUCGAUUCUGCUUAACUCAA
Molecule: transfer RNA, 74 nt
Filed under: Lactarius sp. (in: basidiomycete fungi)
Lineage: Eukaryota; Fungi; Basidiomycota; Agaricomycetes; Russulales; Russulaceae
Description: Lactarius sp. (in: Russulaceae) tRNA-Trp
Source: RNAcentral